Molecule: non-coding RNA, 29 nt
Filed under: Rattus norvegicus (Norway rat)
Lineage: Eukaryota; Metazoa; Chordata; Mammalia; Rodentia; Muridae
Source: RNAcentral
UACAUAGCAAGUUGAAAACUGGCCUGGGC